Mastomys coucha (southern multimammate mouse) is the source of this 774-nucleotide long non-coding RNA. RefSeq lists it as uncharacterized. The transcript has 5 exons. NCBI's taxonomy places the organism in Eukaryota, Metazoa, Chordata, Mammalia, Rodentia, Muridae. The record is from RefSeq and is a predicted model, not a curated record.
GUGUAACCAAGAUACUCAUAGGCCAGAAACAGCGUGCCGGGAGCCCGCCCGGAGAUUGAAAUCGGAGAUGGGAAGACUGCAUUUCUGGAAACCGAGGCUGAAGAAGCUGGAACUCAUCCAGAUCUGUAUUAUGAUAUUGGGAAAUGGAUAACGCCAUCUCCAGGAUCGAGAGAACUUCCGAAAUAGUGAAUCGCAUGGAUCCCGGUGACAGUAGGCAUUAAGGGCUACUGGACUGAAGCUGCUGGAAACUUGUUAGAAGAGGCUGCUAGGUCACCUGGAGCUGGAGCCACAGACAGUUAUGAGCAACCUGCCAUGGCACUGAGACUGGAACUCACUCAGGUCCUCUGGAAGAGCCUUUGACCAUGGAGCCACCUCAACCCCAGGAGGGGAAGAACUGGUGUACACUCAGGACCAAGAAUGACCAAGAAUGUGGAACCUUAAAGAAAGGUAAAGUGUGAAACCCUUUGCUAGCUCCCACAGCUCAGAACUCAGUGUUGACCACUGUUUCAAGUAAGAGGAUUGUCAACAUGUCAUUAACAUCCUCCUUCUGAUGUUUAAAUUUGACUUGUCAAAAGCAGCAUUACUGACAGGCAGUAGCUUAUUCAGGAGCCAGCAUUUCAGGACAUCACUGAGCACUGUGCUUGUAGUUCUGCGAUUGUUGCCUGCUAUUUUCUUAGAUAAGAAACUAUAACUAGGGCUGGUGAGAUGGCUCAGAGGGUAAGAGCACAGUCUGCUCUUCCGAAAGUCAUGAGUUCAAAUCCCAGCAACCACAUG